AUAAAGAAACGCGCUUCCACGCGCUUGCCGACUCGAUCGCAAGGGGACAGCCUGAUCAACAUCAAUAUCAGCAGCAAUGGCGGAUUUGCGCUUGCCAUGGCGCUUGCAAAGUUUUCAAUAGUUUUCGGCUAUUAAGUGAUGCUUUUGCUAUUUUAGCGUGUGGAGGUUCAUUGUACGUCUGUUUUUUCAAGUUUGGCAUGUGUUUUAACACAUGUGAAGGUGUAGUCUUUUCUUCUUCAGCGGAUAUUUGUACAAGACCCCGUUCACCGUCUAUCAGCUCUAGCUCGGCAAGAAUAAAGCGGUUCCUUAGAAGUGGUGGAGGUGCUGGGGUUCUGCAUACCAAGGACGUAUAAGGUCACAAAGCUGCACCCAGGUAGAGGCAGAAUCCAAAAAUGCUUGUGUACUUAAGUAUAGCUGCACAUUACAGAAUCCGAGGCCCUCAAGAUUUAUCCGUAGCCCUCGUGUAGCCCACGAGUUCCAUAUUUUUUAUUGGGAUUGAAGAGUAACGUUUGUGCUGUAUCCCUCUAUUUCAGACUAAAUAAUGUGCAUGCAAAAUUAUAUCUUCAUUACUUUACACCAUUGCACCAAUAUCUGUUGUGCGUUGAUUUUCUGAUGUCCUUGCAUUUGCUAUAGCAAGGAUUUUUAACAAUCAGCCACAAAAGAAAAAAUAAAUGGUCAAGGAACGAAGUGGUGUGUAGCAGCUCCCUUUUUUUUAAUCGGCGGCAAGUUUUGCACUCGUGUGUUAGCAACACUGUUUCGCCAGUUGUGUACUUCAAAAGAAGUGUUACCUUUCUGCUUUGGAACUUUGUGGUUUUGUUCUGCCAGCUGCUUGACCAACACAAGCAAAAUGUACUUUGGAUAUUCCACAUUCAUUCUGUAUGCAUUUGGCACAAUAAAAUUUGUUUCAAGAAUGGACAAAUGCAGUGAUGGUU
Dermacentor andersoni is the source of this 932-nucleotide non-coding RNA. Lineage: Eukaryota; Metazoa; Arthropoda; Arachnida; Ixodida; Ixodidae. The record is from RefSeq and is a predicted model, not a curated record.